RNAcentral lists this long non-coding RNA (1523 nucleotides) under Helianthus annuus (common sunflower). Lineage: Eukaryota; Viridiplantae; Streptophyta; Magnoliopsida; Asterales; Asteraceae. The record is from RNAcentral.
UUGAAACCAAGAAAUUUAAACCUUAAUAAUAAGCAACAACUUUAGGCUAAGGAUAAUUGUACCCUUGGCUUUGGGUGUUUUCCAAAAAAAAUUUGGAGAUGGCCGACUCGUCAACUUCUUCAAUGUCUUUCUCAUCUCAAACAAAUCAAAACCCUAAUCCCUCACCCACCAGUCCAUCACCGCCCUCAUGUCUCCCACCACUAUCGUUCGCCGCCAACCCACACCAGCGGAGAAACCGUGACAACUAGAUGAACGGUUGCAUUGGAGCAGACGCAACGACAACUUUUAGGGUUCAUGUGCUCAUCUCCUCGCCGGGAUUCGGUGCAUUUUUGGUCCAGCUUUUCUAAUUAGGCAUAUUUAUGUUACGAGAGGGUAGUUGUAGUUUUGAUGUUGAUGGCUUCCAUCCUCUCAACAUUGGCAAACUUGCUAUGAAAGGCAAAGACACACUCUUUCUUCCCUACACCCCAGAGCAAAGCUGCCAAGUAGCGUGCGUGUGCAAAAGAAAGAUUAGAUAUUUACAUAACAUUAAAAGAUCUUUAUAUGUUGAAUCUUAAAUGUUCAUAUCGCGGGGAUUUGUUAUUGUGAAAGAACUUGAGCAACUUGAGCGCCAACUUGAAUUUACUUUGAGUCAAAUUUGGUGCAUAAGGGUAUGUUUAGUGUGUUUCUACUAGCUAUAUAAUCUGAGGAGGUGUUUGAAUGAUUCAUCUCGGAUAUGGAUGGCGGGGAUUUGAUUGGAGUAUCGGCGAUAGUUCAGUCAAACUCCGAAGUAGAACAGAAUGAACAGACAAUAAUGAAUAGACAAUGGUUGGAUGAAAAUGGGUUUGAAUCGCGAGUAAAAGGAAGGGGCUUUUUGAUUCGCGGGUGGGCAACACAAGUUCUGAUCCUAUCGCACCGAGCCGCAGGUAUUAAAGUGUACAAGAUGCAGCUUUUAGAGGGCUUGAAGGAUGUUAGAGGCUGGCGUGAUCAAGAUGUGUGAAAACAAAGGAAAAUGAAGGAACUAGGAGCAAAAGAUCACUCAGAGCCGUAAGCUACGCCACCAGGCCGUAGCUUACGGCACCUAUAGCAUGCCAAAAAUUAGUGCCGUAAGACAGGAGCACAGGACCGUAAAGAACAUUGAUCGCCGUAAGCUACGGCGGUGAGCCGUAGCAUACGGCACUGCUUGAACCCCGGAAAUUCACUGAUCACCGUAAGCUACGGCAGGGGGCCGUAGCUUACGGCGCCGAUUGAACCAAAGUCGUAACCGAUGCAUUUAUGAGCAUUUUGAAGACAUAUUAUGAUUACUAAUCAUGUGUGGUCGGUUACUACUUGAGAAAAACGAGUGGGGGACUAUUUGAAGGCACUUGGGGAGCUAGGAAACAUAUCUUUGCAUAAUCUUUUCACUAGAAUCAUUGGGGAACAAUCUUUGCAUUAUAUUCUUGUCUUUGUUGGUGGAACUUGUGAACUUUGGUUUUAUUUCUAUUUUGUCAUGAUGUGUGUUAAAGCCAUGAGUGGCUAGGUACUUUAAUGACUAUCUUGUGGUGAAG